UAUUCCUACAUGGAUUGCAACCAUGACUAAUGAUAUGAAAAACCAUUGUUGUAUUUCAACUAUAAGAAU
This 69-nucleotide transfer RNA is filed under the name Cacajao calvus (bald uakari). RNAcentral's name for it is "tRNA-Glu". Lineage: Eukaryota; Metazoa; Chordata; Mammalia; Primates; Pitheciidae. The record is from RNAcentral.